GUGCUUGCUUCGGCAGCACAUAUACUAAAAUUGGAACGAUACAGAUAAGAUUAGCAUGGCCCCUGCAUAAGGAUGACACACAAAUUUGUGAAGCAUUCCAUAUUUUU
Molecule: small nuclear RNA, 107 nt
Organism: Cavia porcellus (domestic guinea pig)
Lineage: Eukaryota; Metazoa; Chordata; Mammalia; Rodentia; Caviidae
Source: Ensembl